This 480-nucleotide ribosomal RNA is filed under the name uncultured bacterium. RNAcentral's name for it is "bacterial SSU rRNA". It matches the Rfam family "Bacterial small subunit ribosomal RNA", at positions 29 to 506 of the family's 1533-position model. The record is from RNAcentral.
UUGAACGCUGGCGGCAUGCUUUACACAUGCAAGUCGAACGGUAACAGGUCUUCGGAUGCUGACGAGUGGCGAACGGGUGAGUAAUGCAUCGGAACGUGCCCAGUCGUGGGGGAUAACGUAGCGAAAGUUACGCUAAUACCGCAUACGUCCUGAGGGAGAAAGCGGGGGACCGUAAGGCCUCGCGCGAUUGGAGCGGCCGAUGUCGGAUUAGCUAGUUGGUGGGGUAAAGGCCUACCAAGGCGACGAUCCGUAGCGGGUCUGAGAGGAUGAUCCGCCACACUGGGACUGAGACACGGCCCAGACUCCUACGGGAGGCAGCAGUGGGGAAUUUUGGACAAUGGGGGCAAGCCUGAUCCAGCAAUGCCGCGUGAGUGAAGAAGGCCUUCGGGUUGUAAAGCUCUUUCAGACGGGAAGAAAACGCAUCGGUGAAUACCCGGUGUGGAUGACGGUACCGUAAGAAGAAGCACCGGCUAACUACGU